UGAGGAAUAUUGGUCAAUGGGCGAGAGCCUGAACCAGCCAAGUCGCGUGAAGGAAGACAGUCCUAAGGAUUGUAAACUUCUUUUAUACGGGAAUAACGGGCGAUACGAGUAUUGCAUUGAAUGUACCGUAAGAAUAAGCAUCGGCUAACUCCGUGCCAGCAGCCGCGGUAAUACGGAGGAUGCGAGCGUUAUCCGGAUUUAUUGGGUUUAAAGGGUGCGUAGGUUGUUCGGUAAGUCAGCGGUGAAACCUGAGCGCUCAACGUUCCGCCUGCCGUUGAAACUGCCGGGCUUGAGUUCAGUGGCAGCAGGCGGAAUUCGUGGUGUAGCGGUGAAAUGCAUAGAUAUCACGAGGAACUCCGAUUGCGAAGGCAGCUUGCCAUACUGCGACUGACACUGAAGCACGAAGGCGUGGGUAUCAAACAGG
Molecule: ribosomal RNA, 424 nt
Filed under: Fusobacteriota bacterium
Lineage: Bacteria; Fusobacteriati; Fusobacteriota
Description: Fusobacteria bacterium partial 16S ribosomal RNA
Rfam family: Bacterial small subunit ribosomal RNA
Source: RNAcentral